UCCAAGCUAACUCCUGACACCCUAAAAUCCUAUCACUGUGUAGAAAAGUAGAAGUAUUAAUGUUGCCUGCAUCACAUGGGGAUAUAGUAUCUGAUAAUGAUGAGCGGGUUGAGUGCUAGCAUGUAACACAGGGCAAGGAUAAAAUAAUGUCAGUUAAAAGUUAAAUUUCAAACUCACUAUACAUGUUCAUAUGCAUAUGUAUAUAUAGUAGAUGUUGGGGUAGGGAACAAGGUUUAGCAUGAUAGUAAAACAUUAUCUAGGACUAUGUAGCUAAGCUGUCAUAAACAGGCACCCACGGGCUAUAUGGGUUCAGCUUUCCCUGCUAAAAGAGCCCCAGUGUGUGUUAACCGCAUGAACCAGAGGCAUCAAGGAAGACCAAAAAAUGCCCCGAGCCCACGUCAACCUAGAUACAAAAUGUAUCAAUAGUGUGAACCAUACACACGGUCAUCUAGACCAACCCUCAAGUCGGUAAAUGUGAGUUUCCAGUAUAAGUCAUUCAAGACUCACACCUUCACCUCUUAGCUACAUAACACCCAUUAAUCCCAAUUAAAACAACUUUCACAUAACCCAUUCAUUAACCAAGGAAUCAUAUAUUAAGGCACACCAUGGUAUUGUCAUACCUAUUUAGCUUGCAAGCUUAUACUUAUGCCAUUACAAUUCCAUUAACUUGAGGGAAUGCCUCGACACCCUUUGUUCAUUAUAUCAAGUUGGAGGAAUGCCUCAACCUCCUUUAGUUUAUCAAAAUAAAACAUAGCCAACAAGGCUUCAAAAUCUAUUUUUAUUGUUUAAUCAUUUAUGUAAUGCUAUAGUAUAGGUUAGUAAAUCAAACUAAGUGACAAUUCCAUAAUUCAAAGCCAUUUACACAAGUGGGUUCAGGGAAUACAAUUAUUCAAAAUUAAUUUCCAAGUUCAAAACAUCAAUUUGAGGGAUUUUAUCGACCCUCAUUUUAAUUCCCCCGCCCAUGCACCCUAUUAGUUCAAAAACAUCCACUUCAAAGCAUGAACAACUCAUGAAAACCAUGGGAAAAUAAUUCAAGGAUCAACCAUUUCAAAACCAUCAACCCGUGUUAAAACUCACAUUAAAAUCCAUACAAUUAAACCAUUUAAAAUACGUUCUUUUCACAAAAUAAGAUUUGGAGAAGAGUAACAUGCUUGAGAUAUUACGAUUUACGAAAAGAAAUUAACCCUUGGAAGUUCUAGAGACCAAUUUCUUAAAACCCUAGCUUAUUCAUGCCUUAGGGAUUUAAGAGAGUUUAGGAGAGUGUUGAUGACUGGUAGGUAUUGAAAAUAAUGCCCAAAGGUGAUUUAUGGUUGUAGGAUCUAAGUAGGGGAAAAGGGAAAUGACCAGAAUGUCUUUAAUAAAUAGACUAAAAAUUAACCACACAAUCGCUACGGGUCACAUGAUGACUCAUAAUGACUGGAUAUGAGUCAUUUCUUAGACUCAGAGUUUGGUCAGUAUCAUAGGUAUGCACACUGGUCUGACUAUGAUUCGUACCUUAUAACUCAUACUCAGACCUUAUGACUCGUAUGGUCUAGUUGUUGUAUUGGAAGAAACAUUUAGGCAUCCUUACUGGUUAGGCUACGAAAACCGCUAUAUGACUUGUAAUGGGUCUUGACAACUCAUUGGGUGAUAAUCAUGACCAAUACAAAGACUUUUCCAAACACACUGGUCAGGCUACGAUUACAGUCCUACAACUCAUAUGAUAAGUCUUAGUCUGGGCAGUGAGCUCAGAGGUUAAAAAAAUUUUAAGGGCCAAAAUCUGGGGUGUAAGUAUACAUUCAUAAUUUAUCAAAGUCUAACAACUAAAUGGAAGAAAAGACAUAUUUAUAGUCUAGGGUUAAUUAUUACAUCAUAUGGGCCAAAAAAUUAUCCAUUUGGGAAAGACAAAGCAUAGAAGCCCAUUAAGAAUUCCCUUAGGCAAUCCAAGCACACAUGGGAUGCAUCUUCAAGUCAUGUGAGUUAUUUUUGACCCACUCUAGCAGAUCUAGAGUCGGUUGGGCACACCUACAAAGCAGAUGGGGUGCAUUCUCCUUUCGGGGGCUUUCUAGCCUCAUUUUGCCUUUCUUUGGCCUCUUUAAUAUCUCUCGUUCCUCCUCAAUCAUCAUAAUAAUUCAAUUAGCACCUUUUGGAUAGAACCAAUGAGCCUUCAAGUGCCUCUUGAACUAUAAGCCUCUUCUCUAAUAAUCUGGAGGCCAUUUGGAUUGUAUUACAAUACAAGUUAUGGCAUGGAUUUUAUUUCCUGAUCUUUUACCUACUUUUUUUGUGAUGAAUCACUUUUUUCAUUAGAAGAAACUAUGGGAAAAACCAUCCAUCUUGAUAUGUCCACUAUUAACAAGGCCCGACCUAGUUGUGCGAGGGUGAAAGUCCAAAUUGAUUUAGCAACUAAGUUACCUGAUAAAGUGGAGAUAGAAGUGAAUAAAACAAAAGAAGCAAGGAUUCAAUCAGUCAAAACUCGAUAUGAUAUGCUUCCUAAAUAUUGUUUCAAGUGUAAAGUUCAAUGUCAUGAGAAGGUGGAGUAUAGAAUUUUACAUUCAGAAUUGAAAAAUUAUGUGCAAAAAAGACAUAAAUAGGAAGUUAGUUUUUGCUAAAUGGAAUCCUACAAGUCAAAAAUUUCAAAUUGAAAAAGGAACCAACAAAUUUCUAGAUAAUGUUGUAGACAUGAAAAAUGAGGAAAAGGUGUUACAGGCCAAUAAAACAAUCAGUACUAAGAACUCAUUUGGCAUCCUUCAACAACAAGAUGAAGGCAGUUAACUUACUCAAGCUACGGGAACAAUGACCUCAAUGGUGGAGGGAAAGGAAAAUAUGAAGAAGAAGAAAAAUAAUGUAAAAGAAAAGCUGAGUAACAUGCAAAAUAUAGAUCAACAUAAAUCUGUUUAGUAGAAAUAAAAUAGGAAAAAUAUAUAUUCCAUGAGUUAAUAUGGAUAAUCAGGUGGAGGGAUGUAUUACAACUGACAAGGACAACAUCAAUGAGACUAGCAACAAUAGUUGUUCAAUGGGAACUGCAGAACCUAUUCAUGAUAAAUAUAUGAUAUUAAAUGUAGUGGAUCACAAAGAUACUCAACAACUUACAUGUACCAACAAAAAUCUAAGGAAAAGAGGCAGAAGUAUAUUGCUAGAACAGGGGAAUGUAGGUGUAAAUCAAAAUAAAUUACAUAGUAGUGGAAAAUACAUAGAAGACAUUCAUAGAAACAAAGAAAGUCCACAAAUGCAAAAAAAAAAACAUGUUGAUUAUUGAUAGUCACAGUGCAAGAGGAGGUGAUAUUGUGAAUAAUGAUAUACCUGAUGACAUACAUUCAAAUAGGGUUCAAUUAGCCCUUGCUCAAGCUACAUAAAAUGAGGCACUUUAGGUGGAUGAAUCAGGUGUUAGAGGUGAUGAGGGAUUUCUUCCAAAUAGCAUAGAAGGGGAGGCAAGUAAUCUGGCAUUAGCAGCAUUGAAAAAAUCAAACAACAAAAAAUUACAUAAUUUGGUUUCCCACCAAAUAACAAAAGAGGUAAAUCAUGAAAGUACAGAUACAGAUGACAUAUGGAUAAAAGAUACAGAAGAAGGAAAUAAUCAAAAAAAACUAAACCAAGUAAUGAAAGAAGCAGGUUUAUCACCACGUGCAAAUAACAAAGGUAAAAAGAGUAGGAUCAAAGUUGAAAAGCCUACAAGGACCAGUUCUAGGAGGGGUGGUAAAGCCAGCAUUCAAUGAAUUUAAAAGCACUUUUCUGGAACAUCAGAUUAGUUAGGUCACAACAUGUUUUCCACAUAGUACAAAUGUUACAUAGGCAUCAUAUUACUUUUAUUGCUUUGAUGGAGUCUUUUCAAGAUAUCAGACACAUAUAGAGGUAUAAAAGAAUAUUGGGCAUGAAAUAUACAAAUUAUAAUAUGAAUGUAAAGAUAUGGAUUUUUGUUUAAAAAAAUAUACAGGUGGAGACAUUAGCAUAUUCUGAUCAGCAAAUCACAUUUUAGCUAGUUGUUCAGAAUGAUCAAUAGGUGAUUAUUAUAGCUGUUUAUGCUAAAUGUGAUGUAAGUGAAAGAAUUGCUUUAUGGGAUCUAUUUACUCAUUGAGUCAUAAUGUUAGAGUAUCUUGGAUGGUAAGGGGACUUUAAUGUUAUCAUGAAUGAAGAAGAGAAAAUUGGAGGAUUACCAAUGUAUCCUAAUGUAUAUGAACAUUUUGCUUUCUACAUCAACCCCUGUGAUCUAUUUGAUAUUAAUUUAAAAGGGAGUCCAUUCACUUAGUGGAAUGGUAGGGCAGAUGAUCCAUGUAUUUUUAAGAGAUUAGACAUAAUCGUUAUUAACUAAGAGUUUUUGGGCAUUAUGGGGCGUAUUGAGGUUGAACAUCUAUCCAGGACACGAUCAGAUCAUGCUCCUUUGUUAUUCUCUUGUAGUGAUGAAAAUGUUCAGUUUCACAAGCCUUUUAGGUUUUUGAAAUUUUGGACUGAGAAAGAGGACUUCAAAGAAAUGGUAAGAUAGAAUUAGGUAUCAAAAAAAUGUAGGCAUAUCUUUAUCAAUUUAAAGCAAAAAAUGAAGAAAACCAAAAUGGCUCUAGCUUUAUGGAGCAGAUUCAUGUUUGGAGAUAUAUUUAAAUAAUUAGUCAUCAAGAAAUACAUAGUAAGAAUCAAAAAUGAUUUGUUUGAAGAAAGUCCUACUACUACUAACAAAAUAAUUUUUCAGAAGGCACAGGCUGAGUUGAGGUAGUGUUUACAUUAUGAAGAAGAGUAUUGGAGAUAAAAAUCUGGUAUUCAAUGAUUUUCAGAAGAGAAGGAAAUAUGAAAUUCUUUCUGGUGAAUGCUAGAAGGAAAAAGCUAGAAAUAACUAGAAUUUAGAGAGUUGAUGGUUCUUGGGUUGAAGAUAAUAAUUAGGUAGCUGUAGAAAUAAUUGAUUUCUACCAGAAAUAAUUCACUGGAUCAGUUGAGUCUGGUGCAUAUUCUUUUAUUAAUUUGAUUUCUACCCUAAUCACAAAAUAAGAGAAUAAUUUGUUGAAGGUUUGUCCUGACACUGAAGAAGUUAAAAAGGUAGUUUCUAAACUGAAUGGGGAUAACGCUUGUGAGCCAGAUGGUUUCACUGGACAUUUUCAUCAGUUUUGAUGGGACAUUGUUAGUGGUAAUAUUGUGAAGGUAGUUCAUGUAUUUUUUAUGUAAUGACACUGCCUAAAUCUAUCACUCAUACUAAUUUGGUUCUAUUGCCAAAUAAAGAGAAGGUCAAGAGAGAAGGUCUUGACCUUCUUUGACUUAAGACCUAUUAGUUUGAGUAAUUUUCCAAACAAAAUCAUAUUUAGAAUUCUUCAUGAUAAAUUAUAAGGUUUCUUACCUAGGCUCUCUCAAAAUCAAUCUGAUUUUGUUAAGGGAAAAAUUAUCACAGAUAAUGUAUUAUUGGCCAAGAAAAUUAUAUGCGAUAUUAAAAAAGGGAGUAAGGCUGCAAAUAUGGUAAUUAAGCUUGAUAUGACCAAAGUCUACGAUAGAGUGGAGUGAAAUUUUUUUAUGGAAAUGUUGGAGAAAAUGGGCUUCUCAAAUGUCUUUACUGAUAUGAUAUGGAGACUAGUAGCCAAAAAUUGGUACUCUAUCCUAAUAAAUAGGGAAGUUCAUGUCUUCUUCCAUUCUUCUAGAAGAGUAACGCAAUGGGGUCCUUUAUCCCCUUCUUUAUUUAUUAUUAUUGCUGAAGUUAUAACAGGGCACUUAAUAAUUUAUUCUCAUAUGAUGAUUUCAGGAGUUAUGGACUGACUAAAUAGAGUGAUCAAAUAAAUCAUCUUGCUUAUAUUGAUAAUACAAUAAUAUUUUUUUUGCUGACAGGUUUUCAUUGUAAUUAAUUAUGCAGAUCUUAAGAGAAUAUGAAAACCAAUCGUGUCAACAGGGAAAAGAGUGCCUUUUAUGUACAUAACAAGGUUACUCAUGCACAUGUUUAAUUGGUGGAGCAUUGUACUGGCUUUUCCAAGAGGUAAAUUUCCAUUGACAUAUCUGGUUGUGCUAUUGGACAUGCUAGGAAAAGAAAGAUUAAUUUUUUAGAGCUAUUAAAGAAGGUACAAAAUAAACUUCAGUUAUGGAAAGGCAAACUAUUAUCAUUUGGAGGUAAAGUUGUGUUGAUUAAUAAUGAUUUGCAGAGUAUCCUCAUUUAUCAAUUAUUCGAUCUUAUACCUCCAAAAUGUGUGAUUCAUGAUCUUUAUAGAUUUUUUGCUAAAUUUCUAUGGAACUUUAGAAAAAGAGGGAGGAGUAAACACUAGGUCUCUUGGACUAAUAUAUGUCUACCAAAAAAGGAAAGUGGUAUUGAUUUUAGAUCUUUUUUUUAUGUGUCUAAAUCCUUAUUUUCAAAGCUAUGGUGGUAUUUUAGAAUACAAAAAAAUAAUGUGGACUAAUUUUAUGAGAACAAGUACUGUAAAAGGCAUAGACCACAAGUAGUUGAAUGGAAAGGUGGUUCUCAAGUUUGGAAGUUUAUGUUACAGGCUCGAGAUUAUUUUGACCAAGAAAUAUGGUGGAAAUAUAAGUGUGGACAUGUUAGUAUUUGGUCAGAUAAUUGGACUCAAAAGGGAGCUUUACACUAUUAUCUCCCAUUAAACUAUAAUAAUAAUGGAUGAUUGGAAGAUGUGCAUCAAUUAAUGAAUCAUGAUGGGUGGAAUAGGGAUCUACUUAAGGAAAUUUUUUCUGAAGAUAGAUGCAAUCAUGUACUUAAUAAGAUUGGGACAAUAGGAUAUUUUAAUGCUUGGGAUAAUCCAUGGUGGAUGCCACAAGGUUCUAGAAAAUUUACAAUUAAAAGUGGUUGGACUAUCAUAAGACAGUCUGGGAAUGUCAAUGAGGAUUUAAGGUUUAUAUGGGAAAAGGGUAUACCUUUCAAAGUAUCUUUCUUCUUCUUGAGUUAUGAAAGAAAAUAUUACCUACAGGUGACUUUCUAGUCAGUACAUGAUGGGAAGAAAUGACUAAUUGUGUUUGUUGUGAGUUACCAGUUCAUGAAUCCUAUGAACAUCUCUUUGUUCAGUGUUCUGCAGCUAAUAAUUUGUGGAUAGUUUUUGCAUCAAUAUUGAAGUGUAGGGCCCUUUUCUUCAUUUAAAAUAUGUUAUCUACAAGUGGUGGAAUGCUAAUUAUUGUGCUAAACUUAGGCCCCUAUUUAUUGUUAUUCCUGUUUUCAUACUGUGGAAAAUAUGGAAAGAAGAAACAUCAUCAAACAUGAAGGUAGGAUGUCAAUUCAUGGCAUACAAUAGGAAAUAAAUUGGAAUCUGUAUUUGUUUGCUAAGAUAAGAUAUCCUUGGCUUAAUAAUAUCCCUAGUAACUGGCCUAUGAUGGUUAUGUUCUUGGAAGUUUAUAAACCUAAUAUCCAGGCUACUGUGGUCAAGUGGAAGCCUCCUAUCAAUGGUUUUUAUAAGUGCAAUAUUGAUGGUGCCUCUAAAGAUAACCCUUGUCCUAGUGGUGGUGCUUUCUGUAUUAGAGACAGUAAAGGGAAAUUUAUUUUUGCUAAGUCAUUCUCUUUUGAUAUCUUAACUAACUUAGAGAAAGAAUUUGUUUCCUUUAAGAAGGGUUUAGAGUAACGUGUGAGUCAAAAGUUGUUAACAGUUACUAUGAAAUAGAUUCUCUCAUUCUUAAGAAAAUCCUAGAUGGAAUCUGGGAGAUUUCCUGGAAGGUUUCUAUAUAUAUCAAAAGAAUUCAAUGGUUGAAGAGGCAAUGUCAGGUGGAGGUGUUGCAUACGCUAAGGGAAGGGAACAAACUGGUGAAUUUUUUAGCUAAUGAAGUUUUCUUUUUAGCAGGUACGCAAAAUAUAAUACACAUUGCUACAGGAUAUUGCAGAUGAAGGAAAAAUAAUUAUAAAAAUGGACAAGCAUUAAAUCCCAUCACUGAAGUUUGUCAAAUAACAUUUUUUUCUAUAUAAAAGGCAGUCAUAUUAAAUAACAUACCAGAUCUGAGAUAGCAAAUAACAAGAAAUGCAAAGGUCAAGGCACAUACAGAGGGGGAAUUGAUCCAAAUAGAGGUACAUAUAGCUAUAUUAACAUUGAUUGUCGAGCAAUAAAGUACAAGUACAUAUGUACAUUUUAGACUAGUGCAUGCGACAUGGGUAAAAUACUAAGCUUCAGAAAAGAGGGUUUUGUACCUUUUUCAUGCUUACUCAAAUCAUCUAAGUUAAUGUCCUUUGUCAGUGGUAUCAGCUUCUUGUUGAGCUCAACCUGUCAAGGGUAUGAUUUAGAUAAUCCAAUUUAAACAUUAGAUUAGGUAAUGGAGGAUUUUGGGAAAGAUUUACGUUUACCUGAGGAUCAAAUGUCUCAAUUUGUUCUAAGGGGAGUUGAUGAAGUCUUCCUAUAAUCCGAUUUCAUGGCAUUUGUGAGACAAUUAUAAAUGUCUAAAAUGAAAUUCAUAACUUCACUAAUGGACAGAUUUGAGCUAAAUACAUGGUGUUGGCUUAAGCUUUCCCUUUUAAUCCGUCAGUGAGGCAGUUUCAGCUUUAUAAUCCGUGUGGGGAAGAUGAAAAUGCAUAAGAAUUUUUCUAGAUACUUAUCAUACUUUUUUAUAUGACAUUCAUAGUUGCAACAACUACAGGGGCAUUAAGUUGUUGAGUCACACUAUGAAGAUUUGGGAGAAAGUGGUUGAGCGGAGGUUGAGGAGGAGUGUGUCUAUUUCGGAGAAUCAGUUUGGAUUUAUGCACUGCCGCUCGACGGAGGAGGAAAUUUACCUGGUGUGGAGACUAAUGGAGACGUAUAGGGAGUGAAAGACGGACCUCCACAUGGUUUUC
This 8689-nucleotide long non-coding RNA is filed under the name Capsicum annuum. RNAcentral describes it as "long non-coding RNA (CANN_LNC017127)". Lineage: Eukaryota; Viridiplantae; Streptophyta; Magnoliopsida; Solanales; Solanaceae. The record is from RNAcentral.